This is a long non-coding RNA of Hemicordylus capensis (graceful crag lizard), 576 nucleotides long. RefSeq lists it as uncharacterized. NCBI's taxonomy places the organism in Eukaryota, Metazoa, Chordata, Lepidosauria, Squamata, Cordylidae. The record is from RefSeq and is a predicted model, not a curated record. The transcript is spliced from 3 exons.
UCUUGCACGGCAUCUGCUACAGUUGCUGUCAUGAGCUUGAACAUUGUUGGAAGGCAAGUUAUUGGCCUAUAGUUACUUGGUACUGCACCUUUUUCAUAGUCUUUCAGAAGAAGACAGGCACUACUGGGCACUCUAGUGGGCACUACCUUGAUGAGGUGGAUGGGCUUGCAAGCUUCAAGGAUGCAGAGGACUAUGCUGGAGGGUCGUCCAAACCAGACUUCACUGCUGAGAAGUCAGACUAAAUGUGCCUAAUCCCACAACCAAGGAGAGAGAGAGAGAGAGAGAGAGAGCGCCACUUGCUCCUAGUAAUUCCAUAUCUUAUGGGACUCACUUAAAAGAAAAGGCAAAGAGAUGUAGCCUUUGACAUGACUACUUUGAAGAAAGUCCCCUUGCUUUCUCCAAUAUAUAACCAUGGAAACCUCCACCAUGUGUGUUUAGGAUAUAAUUUUGGAUCCCGCUCAGGUUUAAUCAGGAAGGUCCCACUCUGUGUGCACACAGUGCUUUGAUACUACUGCCCAGAACAAAACUCAGUCUGCAGACACAUGAAAACAAGUUGUUCUAGUAAGAAUUAAUCAG